Molecule: ribosomal RNA, 483 nt
Filed under: uncultured bacterium
Lineage: Bacteria
Description: bacterial SSU rRNA
Rfam family: Bacterial small subunit ribosomal RNA
Source: RNAcentral
AAUCAACGCUGGCGGCGUGCCUCAGACAUGCAAGUCGAACGAUUAAAGCUCUCUUCGGAGAGUGUAUAGAGUGGCGCACGGGUGAGUAACACGUAAGUAAUCUACCCUCGAGUGGGGAAUAACAACCGGAAACGGUUGCUAAUACCGCAUAAUGCAGCGGCACCGCAAGGUGACAGUUGUUAAAGAUUUAUCGCUUGAGGAGGAGCUUGCGGCAGAUUAGCUAGUUGGUAGGGUAACGGCUUACCAAGGCUACGAUCUGUAACCGGUCUAAGAGGACGGUCGGUCACACUGACACUGAAUAACGGGUCAGACUCCUACGGGAGGCAGCAGUCGGGAAUUUUGGGCAAUGGGCGAAAGCCUGACCCAGCAACGCCGCGUGAAGGAUGAAGUAUUUCGGUAUGUAAACUUCGAAAGAAUAGGAAGAAUUAAUGACGGUACUAUUUAUAAGGUCCGGCGUAACUACGUGCCAGCAGCCGCGGUAAU